RNAcentral lists this small RNA (446 nucleotides) under Pan troglodytes (chimpanzee). RNAcentral's name for it is "processed transcript". Lineage: Eukaryota; Metazoa; Chordata; Mammalia; Primates; Hominidae. The record is from RNAcentral.
AUUCCAGCUUCUACUUUUGUUGCUAUGCAGGUUGUUGUCGGGAUACCAGAUUUCCUACUCCGAGAGGCCCCGGGUCCCUCUGCCACAACUUCUGUCGCUCUGCCGCCUGCACCGUGACCCGCAGUAUUCACGGGAGCCCUAGAGAGGACACCGGGACACCCAGAAGCCGGGAAAUGGCUGGAGUGAAGUGGCGCUCUCUCAGCUCACUGCAACCGCCGCUUCCCAAGUUCAAGCGAUUCUCCUGCCUCAGCCUCCCGAGUAGCUGGGAUUACAGGCAUGUGCCAACAUGCCCAGCUAAUUGUGUAUUUUUUUUUUUAAUAGAGACAGGGUUUCUCCAUGUUGGUCAGGCUGGUUUCGAACUCCCGACCUCAGGUGAUCCGCCCACCUUGGCCUCCCAAAGUGCUGGGAUUACAGGCAUGAGCCACUGUGCCUGGCCUAUUUAUUUU